AUGUUUGUUUUUCAAAAAACACAGUUUCAUGUGUUUACAGGUUUUGUUAUCAAGAAAAAUAUGGCCAUGAUGCCACCAAUGUUGGUGAUGAAGGUUUAGGCAAAAGUGAGGUUUCUUGUUUGUUGGCUGGUAUGGUUAUGUGAUUGACUUUACUUUCACUUCCCAGUCGUUGAGUAUGCAGCCGUGGAAGAUUUAUUCUCUUGGUUUGAAGAUGAAAUAUUCCAUAUCUUGGCUUGCCA
RNAcentral lists this long non-coding RNA (239 nucleotides) under Helianthus annuus (common sunflower). RNAcentral describes it as "hypothetical non coding rna". The record is from RNAcentral. Lineage: Eukaryota; Viridiplantae; Streptophyta; Magnoliopsida; Asterales; Asteraceae.